CCUACGGGAGGCUGCAGUGGGGGAUAUUGCACAAUGGGGGAAACCCUGAUGCAGCGACGCCGCGUGGGGGAAGAAGGUCCUCUGGGUUGUAAACCCCUGUGACAGGGGAGGAAGAGGACGGUACCUGGGGAUGAAGCCCGGGCUAACUACGUGCCAGCAGCCGCGGUAAUACGUAGGGGGCGAGGGUUAUCCGGAAUUACUGGGGGUAAAGGGGGCGUAGACGGGAGGGGAAGGCAGGUGGGAAAUCUUACGGCCUAAACGGGAACCUGCACUUGAACUGGAAUUCCUGGAGUGAAGGAGGGGUAGGCGGAAUUCGUGGUGUAGCGGUGAAAUGCGUAGAUAUCAGGAGGAACACCGGUUGCGAAGGCGGCCUGCUGGACUGUGACUGACGCUGAGGCCCGAAAGCGUGGGGAGCAAACAGGAUUAGAUACCCCUGUAGUC
RNAcentral lists this ribosomal RNA (441 nucleotides) under uncultured bacterium. Its description in RNAcentral is "partial 16S ribosomal RNA". It matches the Rfam family "Bacterial small subunit ribosomal RNA", at positions 338 to 795 of the family's 1533-position model. The record is from RNAcentral.